UACGUAGGGUGCGAGCGUUGCCCGGAUUUAUUGGGCGUAAAGGGCGCGUAGGCGGCUCGACACGUUCGUUGUGAAAUCGCCCGGCUCAACUGGGCGGGGUCAGCGGAUACGGUCGAGCUUGAGCAAGCUAGGGGGCAAUGGAAUUCCCGGUGUAGUGGUGGAAUGCGUAGAUAUCGGGAGGAACACCAGUGGCGAAGGCGGUUGCCUGGGGCUUUGCUGACGCUGAUGCGCGAAAGCGUGGGGAGCGAUCCGG
Molecule: ribosomal RNA, 253 nt
Filed under: uncultured bacterium
Lineage: Bacteria
Description: partial 16S ribosomal RNA
Rfam family: Bacterial small subunit ribosomal RNA
Source: RNAcentral